Molecule: long non-coding RNA, 1305 nt
Filed under: Homo sapiens (human)
Lineage: Eukaryota; Metazoa; Chordata; Mammalia; Primates; Hominidae
Description: non-protein coding lnc-OCRL-4:4
Source: RNAcentral
AUUGUUAGGCACCAGCUCAAGCAAUCAGGCUUUCUUUGUAUUAGCUGAAAAACAAGGAAAUCGCACAUCCACGCCUAACUGCCUCACACCUGUGCUUGCAAAAGUGGCAGAAGCACUGAGCAUCUUGUGACUAAUCUGGAAAAUUGUCUACUUCAAGCAAAGUGACUUUCAGUGUUUCAGAUCUCCCUCUUCUCCCACCCUCAUGGAAGCUUUGCUUCUUUUCAUCUUAUAGUCAAAUAUUGAUCCACUCGACCUGUCCUCGAGGUUUUGAUUAACACAGAAGAUUGCCACGCCGAAGGUGCAGCUCUUCUUAUGGAGAUAGCAGAGACACAAGAGACCAAGCUCAACUACACAAGCAUAUUUCAUGUCUCUGCUUACGUCACAUCUGUCAUUAUCCCAUUGGCCAAGGUGGAAGGAUCAAUAGCUGAGUGUGUCUUCGGGAACUAAGUGACAAAACAACACUAACAUACUCCAGUGAAAAGCACCACAUUUCUCUAGCCAUGGUCAAUAUUUGAAGGUGGCAAAACACAGAGAAUCCUGUUUGCAUCUGAUCUGCUCACUGCAAUAUAACACGUGCAUAAAACAGUGCAACCGUAUUUGUUUUAAUAAGGCCAUUCUGAGCAGCUGUUUAAUGAUCCAUGAUGUUAAAUGAAAACUACAGGUGUUCCAAAUGCAAACCUUAUGGCCCAGGGCCCCCCUUAUUACCGUUCUACAAUUAGCAGCCAACUGCUCUUAGGCUGUGCAAAGAAUUACCACCAUCAUCAUUACAUUAUUUCUUAAUUUCAUUCUCUGCCUAAGUGUCUUCCCCCAAAGGAAAAACCUGCUUGGCAUGGGAAAGCAUAAGAGUGAAAAAAUGAAAAGGGAAGGAGAACACAAAACACUCCCUGUCCAACCACAAGGAGGCCUCAGUGAAGGGGGAAAGAGCCAGCCAAAAGGCUCAGCCCCCUAAGGAAUCUUCCAGAGUGACUUUCUGGCCAAACUUAACAAAGUCUUGCUGAAACUAUUGGUGUUCAUAAGGAUUGCAUUAACCCUUUCUUCUUCAUGAUUCCCUAAGCUUAAUACUGUGCUAAGCCAAAUUGCCAGAAAGCUGCAUAGCUGGAUUCCAUCGCUCUGUCUUGUAGAGGGCUAAUUUUAUGCAAGUAUAAUUUUAACAUCACAACAGUUUUCACUUAAGGUACAUAUAAUAAACUGCAAAGAAGGAAGUCUUCUGUAUCACUUGUGAAAUUGCUGUCUGUAUCAUUAUCCAUUACAUACCUCAAUACCUCUUACAUAAAAAUGCCAGAGACAAAUUUAAUUAGAGCUCGG